GGGCCGCUAGCUCAAUUGGCAGAGCAAGUGACUCUUAAUCACUAGGUUCGAGGUUCGAUUCCUCGGCGGCUCA
Molecule: transfer RNA, 73 nt
Filed under: Chloroflexota bacterium
Lineage: Bacteria; Bacillati; Chloroflexota
Description: Chloroflexi bacterium (groundwater metagenome) tRNA-Lys
Rfam family: tRNA
About the family: Transfer RNA (tRNA) molecules are approximately 80 nucleotides in length. Their secondary structure includes four short double-helical elements and three loops (D, anti-codon, and T loops).
Source: RNAcentral